RNAcentral lists this ribosomal RNA (2889 nucleotides) under Pseudomonas sp. FP2254. Its description in RNAcentral is "23S ribosomal RNA". It matches the Rfam family "Bacterial large subunit ribosomal RNA". The record is from RNAcentral. Lineage: Bacteria; Pseudomonadati; Pseudomonadota; Gammaproteobacteria; Pseudomonadales; Pseudomonadaceae.
GGUCAAGUGAAGAAGCGCAUACGGUGGAUGCCUUGGCAGUCAGAGGCGAUGAAAGACGUGGUAGCCUGCGAAAAGCUUCGGGGAGUCGGCAAACAGACUUUGAUCCGGAGAUGUCUGAAUGGGAACCCAGCAUCAUAAGAUGGUUAUCUUGUACUGAAUACAUAGGUGCAAGAGGCGAACCAGGGGAACUGAAACAUCUAAGUACCCUGAGGAAAAGAAAUCAACCGAGAUUCCCUUAGUAGUGGCGAGCGAACGGGGACUAGCCCUUAAGUGGCUUUGAGAUUAGCGGAACGCUCUGGAAAGUGCGGCCAUAGUGGGUGAUAGCCCUGUACGCGAAAAUCUCUUAGUCAUGAAAUCGAGUAGGACGGAGCACGAGAAACUUUGUCUGAAUAUGGGGGGACCAUCCUCCAAGGCUAAAUACUACUGACUGACCGAUAGUGAACUAGUACCGUGAGGGAAAGGCGAAAAGAACCCCGGAGAGGGGAGUGAAAUAGAUCCUGAAACCGUAUGCGUACAAGCAGUGGGAGCCCACUUUGUUGGGUGACUGCGUACCUUUUGUAUAAUGGGUCAGCGACUUAUUUUCAGUGGCGAGCUUAACCGAAUAGGGGAGGCGUAGCGAAAGCGAGUCUUAAUAGGGCGUCUAGUCGCUGGGAAUAGACCCGAAACCGGGCGAUCUAUCCAUGGGCAGGUUGAAGGUUGGGUAACACUAACUGGAGGACCGAACCGACUACCGUUGAAAAGUUAGCGGAUGACCUGUGGAUCGGAGUGAAAGGCUAAUCAAGCUCGGAGAUAGCUGGUUCUCCUCGAAAGCUAUUUAGGUAGCGCCUCAUGUAUCACUGUAGGGGGUAGAGCACUGUUUCGGCUAGGGGGUCAUCCCGACUUACCAAACCGAUGCAAACUCCGAAUACCUACAAGUGCCGAGCAUGGGAGACACACGGCGGGUGCUAACGUCCGUCGUGAAAAGGGAAACAACCCAGACCGUCAGCUAAGGUCCCAAAGUUAUGGUUAAGUGGGAAACGAUGUGGGAAGGCUUAGACAGCUAGGAGGUUGGCUUAGAAGCAGCCACCCUUUAAAGAAAGCGUAAUAGCUCACUAGUCGAGUCGGCCUGCGCGGAAGAUGUAACGGGGCUCAAACCAUACACCGAAGCUACGGGUAUCACGUAAGUGAUGCGGUAGAGGAGCGUUCUGUAAGCCUGUGAAGGUGAGUUGAGAAGCUUGCUGGAGGUAUCAGAAGUGCGAAUGCUGACAUGAGUAACGACAAUGGGUGUGAAAAACACCCACGCCGAAAGACCAAGGUUUCCUGCGCAACGUUAAUCGACGCAGGGUUAGUCGGUCCCUAAGGCGAGGCUGAAAAGCGUAGUCGAUGGAAAACAGGUUAAUAUUCCUGUACUUCUGGUUAUUGCGAUGGAGGGACGGAGAAGGCUAGGCCAGCUUGGCGUUGGUUGUCCAAGUUUAAGGUGGUAGGCUGAGAUCUUAGGUAAAUCCGGGAUCUUAAGGCCGAGAGCUGAUGACGAGUCAUCUUUUAGAUGACGAAGUGGUUGAUGCCAUGCUUCCAAGAAAAGCUUCUAAGCUUCAGGUAACCAGGAACCGUACCCCAAACCGACACAGGUGGUUGGGUAGAGAAUACCAAGGCGCUUGAGAGAACUCGGGUGAAGGAACUAGGCAAAAUGGCACCGUAACUUCGGGAGAAGGUGCGCCGGUGAGGGUGAAGGACUUGCUCCGUAAGCUCAUGCCGGUCGAAGAUACCAGGCCGCUGCGACUGUUUAUUAAAAACACAGCACUCUGCAAACACGAAAGUGGACGUAUAGGGUGUGACGCCUGCCCGGUGCCGGAAGGUUAAUUGAUGGGGUUAGCUAACGCGAAGCUCUUGAUCGAAGCCCCGGUAAACGGCGGCCGUAACUAUAACGGUCCUAAGGUAGCGAAAUUCCUUGUCGGGUAAGUUCCGACCUGCACGAAUGGCGUAACGAUGGCGGCGCUGUCUCCACCCGAGACUCAGUGAAAUUGAAAUCGCUGUGAAGAUGCAGUGUAUCCGCGGCUAGACGGAAAGACCCCGUGAACCUUUACUAUAGCUUUGCACUGGACUUUGAAUUUGCUUGUGUAGGAUAGGUGGGAGGCUUUGAAGCGUGGACGCCAGUCUGCGUGGAGCCAUCCUUGAAAUACCACCCUGGCAACUUUGAGGUUCUAACUCAGGUCCGUUAUCCGGAUCGAGGACAGUGUAUGGUGGGUAGUUUGACUGGGGCGGUCUCCUCCUAAAGAGUAACGGAGGAGUACGAAGGUGCGCUCAGACCGGUCGGAAAUCGGUCGUAGAGUAUAAAGGCAAAAGCGCGCUUGACUGCGAGACAGACACGUCGAGCAGGUACGAAAGUAGGUCUUAGUGAUCCGGUGGUUCUGUAUGGAAGGGCCAUCGCUCAACGGAUAAAAGGUACUCCGGGGAUAACAGGCUGAUACCGCCCAAGAGUUCAUAUCGACGGCGGUGUUUGGCACCUCGAUGUCGGCUCAUCACAUCCUGGGGCUGAAGCCGGUCCCAAGGGUAUGGCUGUUCGCCAUUUAAAGUGGUACGCGAGCUGGGUUUAGAACGUCGUGAGACAGUUCGGUCCCUAUCUGCCGUGGACGUUUGAGAUUUGAGAGGGGCUGCUCCUAGUACGAGAGGACCGGAGUGGACGAACCUCUGGUGUUCCGGUUGUCACGCCAGUGGCAUUGCCGGGUAGCUAUGUUCGGAAUAGAUAACCGCUGAAAGCAUCUAAGCGGGAAACUAGCCUCAAGAUGAGAUCUCACUGGAACCUUGAGUUCCCUGAAGGGCCGUCGAAGACUACGACGUUGAUAGGUUGGGUGUGUAAGCGCUGUGAGGCGUUGAGCUAACCAAUACUAAUUGCCCGUGAGGCUUGACCAU